This is an RNA transcript of Amaranthus tricolor (Joseph's coat), 1855 nucleotides long. RefSeq lists it as uncharacterized. NCBI's taxonomy places the organism in Eukaryota, Viridiplantae, Streptophyta, Magnoliopsida, Caryophyllales, Amaranthaceae. The record is from RefSeq and is a predicted model, not a curated record. The transcript is spliced from 10 exons.
UAGUUUUCUUUUUUGAUGCUUUGAUACGAUCUUAUUUAUUGUCCAAUUGGCUGCAGUAUGCAGAUUGGUUUCUUAAUUUGUUCAUUUACAUUUUCAUCCUUCAAUUUCAUCAUUCCGCUGUUGUUGAUCGAUUAGGAAUUUCAGGGAAAUCAUUCAAUUCCAGCAUAAAAGUUGUUGAUUCCAUUCCAGAAGUGGAAAGUCGAAAAUCGAAAGUCGAAACUUUGUGGAUCCAUUCGUUCUCCUCACACAAUCACACUACUGCAGAAACAUCUGACCUCCGUUCGCCAAGCAAGAUUAAGCAGAUAUGAGAUCAGGGUACAUACACUUCUCCAACAAAAAGAAAGCAGGGAAGGGGACAGCUCCAUCUUUGGUUGAUUUAUGUGUUCAGAUUGCGAUAGAUAACAUUCGGUACAUAGGCAAUGUUGGUGCUACAGAUUCACAUCUUCUUGAUCGUAUUUUACCCCAUUGUACAGUGGAUCAAUUGAUGCAUAUUGAGAAUGCUACAGAUGAGAGAGAUCUAAGUCCAGUCACUGAUAAAUUAUGGAAGAAAUUUUAUGGGGAUAAAUUUGGUGCUAAGAGCAUAGAAGUGGUAAUGGAAAGAAUGAGAAAAUUUAAGGUGAAAUAUAGCUGGAGACAGUUGUAUCAGGCGAAAUUAAAGGAUCAGGAUGAAGCUCAGAAAAAAUCACUAGAGCGACUAGCACAGUCUUUCAAGAAUGAAAAUGCCCGUAAGCAAAGUCGUCAAAUCCAGAUAUGUGCAAAGGUUCCACCAUCAUCCAAGAAACGAGCUUUUGGUGGAGGAUUUGGAGAAUCGAGCUUUGCCAAUGUCAAGAGCAGCAUAAUGAAGAAGGCGAAAAUUGAAUUGUUUAAAAGCCCAGAGAUGAGAAACCGGGCAGCUAUAAGGAAAAUAGGUGUACAGCAGCAGCGAAGUAACAGUAUUCCGGGACCUCAAAUUGAUCGAGGGAAAAGCAUCGGUUCUUAUUCAAAAUUUACCAAUUAAGCAAUUCGAUGGGAAUAGAUAAUGAUUUAUGGGUUAUGAGGAAAGCAAUUGUAAAUAUAAGUACGUUGAGGAUGAAGCCAAGUAUCAGCGUUCGAAGAGUAUCUCACUAUUCACUGCCAAUUGCUAAACCUGAGUUUGAGCCACCUGCUUGUGAUAUGUGGCUUAGCUGUAUAUCCAGUAUUAAACUUCUCGAGAGAAUCUUGACCGCGCUCUCUUUUAUGGGUAUGAGUUGUCGCUAUCCUUCCCUCUCCAGACCCUGACCAUAGUUUUCUAUGGGCAGAAUACACUGGGUUUGAUGAUAUUGAUGAUGAUGAUCCUUUAAUCAACUAAUCCAGACAAUAUGAAUUUGAAAGAGCCCAUGUUUCUUCUUCAUGCACCUUCAUGCACUACAUACUGAGUGAUCUAAGGGAUUAGGGUUUUUCUAAUCAAGGAUUUUAGGAUUUGGGAUAAUGGGGGAAGUAAAUUCAAGCAUGGUGAACAAAGAGCAGAUGAAUGGUGUGAUGAUAAGGGGGCAGGUAUAAGGCUUUGCAAUGACGUCAAUUGACUGUAUUUAAGUUUUAUGUUAAAUUAUUUAUCUAGAGAUACUAAUAUAUGUGUUAGUUAAGUAGGUUUAAGUUUUCUUUUGUCAUAGUAUUGAUUAGGGUUUAAAACCUAGUAUUUCCAAUCCUCAUUAUUUGGUAAAGCUUUCUUAUCUAUGUCCGUAAGUUCAAGUCAUCUAAUCAUCCUUUAUUUGUUACCUUCCAAAGAUCACUGGUAACGAAUCACAAUAGAAAUAUUACUCGCAAUUAAUUGUAGCAAUUUAGCAAUACUCGAACUGAUCUAAGAAAAAUUUUGACUUUAAUAAAUAAAAUAACACAA